RNAcentral lists this ribosomal RNA (497 nucleotides) under uncultured bacterium. Its description in RNAcentral is "partial 16S ribosomal RNA". It matches the Rfam family "Bacterial small subunit ribosomal RNA", at positions 28 to 507 of the family's 1533-position model. The record is from RNAcentral.
GACGAACGCUGGCGGCGUGCCUAAUACAUGCAAGUAGAACGCUGAAGCGAGGAGCUUGCUCUUCUUGGAUGAGUUGCGAACGGGUGAGUAACGCGUAGGUAACCUGCCUUGUAGCGGGGGAUAACUAUUGGAAACGAUAGCUAAUACCGCAUAACAAUGGAUGACCCAUGUCAUUUAUUUGAAAGGGGCAAAUGCUCCACUACAAGAUGGACCUGCGUUGUAUUAGCUAGUAGGUGAGGUAACGGCUCACCUAGGCGACGAUACAUAGCCGACCUGAGAGGGUGAUCGGCCACACUGGGACUGAGACACGGCCCAGACUCCUACGGGAGGCAGCAGUAGGGAAUCUUCGGCAAUGGGGGCAACCCUGACCGAGCAACGCCGCGGGAGUGAAGAAGGUUUUCGGAUCGUAAAGCUCUGUUGUAAGGCAAGAACGAGUGUGAGAGUGGAAAGUUCACACUGUGACGGUAGCUUACCAGAAAGGGACGGCUAACUACGUG